This is a non-coding RNA of Ictidomys tridecemlineatus (thirteen-lined ground squirrel), 2726 nucleotides long. NCBI's taxonomy places the organism in Eukaryota, Metazoa, Chordata, Mammalia, Rodentia, Sciuridae. The record is from RefSeq and is a predicted model, not a curated record.
AGGGAGGGAGGGAGGAAACGUGGGAUUUGCCCGUGGACGGCCCGUUUUGGGGGACACCUCUUCCUAUCACCUGCCAUUGCCCUUGCUCCACAGGUGCCUCCUCCCUGCCCUGGGGGAGAAGGAGGCCUCACGGGCUGACGUCUAAGGGGACGAAGGGACCCAGCGAGAGUCAAGCAGGAUUCUGACCCAGGGCCGGCUCCAGCUUCUCGGGUCCUGUGUCCGUGGGGACAUGCCCCGUGCACUUGCUGGACUGUGAUCUUACUUAUCUGCAAGACCCACAGAGCCUGGUCCUGCCCGGGUGGAGGCAGCCCACCACCACCUUGGAAGGUCAUUUGGAGGGCGGCACUUCCAUAGGCCCUGCCCCGGGCGGUGAGCAGGGUGCGUGGCGGGCUGGAGGUGCGCACGUGUCCGUGAGUGGAGCUUCCGCAGCAGCCACCAGGCCACAGUGGUGCAUCUGUGCGUGCUCCCGAGUCCCCGCCGCAAGCAGAAGCUGUGGGACUGCCCCUGUGUGUGGAGCAGGAACCCGAGGCUCCUGGGGCGCAGGGCACGGGCCUGGCGUGUUCCCGGGGGGCCAGAGCAGCCAGCCUGGCUUGAGAGUCUGGGCCCUUGACCGCCUAUCAGUCAAGCAUCGGGUAUCUGCCUUCGUCUGUUCAGGAGAUGUUUACGGAGGUUUUUAACAAAGGUGGUGAUGAGGAAGUCACUGUCCACUCGCUGGGGCUGGAGAGAAAGCCCAGCAGGUCAAGGAGAGGUAGGGCAGAGGGCGGCCCUGGAGGGCAGGGGAAGUGGGCUGUUUUGAUAGGGAGGCCUGCGAGGUGACGUUGGAGGAGGGGUCAGGGCGGCUGGAUGUCUGGGGUGGGUCAAGAGAGGGAAGGGCAGUCAGAGAGCGGGGCAGGUGCGGACUGCAGUGUGGACUUGCAGGGCUGGGGUGGCCUAGGCAGAGGUAGCCAGAACCCUGCGGGUGGAGGAAGUGGGCGGAGCCAGCAUCCCCUGAGGUCAAGGCAGCGGGACACGGUGGGCCCCACAUGCAGGGGAGAAACCAAGUCGACUGCAGAGAAGGUUCUAGAAGCCCAGCUCCCUCACCGGCAAAGUUCUCUUCACCCUGGCGCCUUCCUCGAGCAUCCAUCAAGCGCUACCGCGUGCCUAGCGCGGACACCUUCCACUUCCCCUCACCAGCGCCUUCGGGACCGGUGAUCCGUGGGUGUGGAGAGGGCGGGCCCCAACAACCCACCAGGGUGGUCCCCAGCACUCCAGGCCCCCUGGAGCCUGCAGAGGAGCCGCUACACCCUCAAAGCAGCCAACACCUGUUGACCAUGUCUCGGGGCCAGGAGUGCGCCGAGCAGUGGACACUGUGGUCCACUCCCUGGACCCCAGGGGGGGGGCCUUUCUCACUCCCUUUGAAGGGAUGAGGGAUCCCAGGUGUGGAGCCGAGAGGCAGCGAGGGGCGCGGCUGCCGGGGGUCCUGAGACUUGGACGCUGCCUCUCACCCCGCUCUGUUCACAACCCUCCCUACAGCCUUCCCCAGCUUCCUGGAGGAACAGAGGGUGGUGAAUAAAUCAAUGUGUCAAGUGCGACGCAGGUUCCACGGCAGACGGUCCCUGGCGGUGGAAGCAGGACACGGCUCCGCGUGAUUUAUCCCUCUCAGAGACGGUGAAGUAUCGUAACGUGAAUUGGACUCCAUCUCCCUGUGUAGCUGAAGAAGAUUUAGUGCCACGUACAGUUUGGACGCAGCAGCUGAAAAUCUAUCUGGACCAAGCAGCAAAGCCGAAUCCAGCCGGGUCUCCGAGUCCUGGCCUGGGCAGAGCUGUCUGGACAGAUCCUUGGAGCAGAUAAUUUACGGCUGAAGCAAAACACAGGCAGAGGCCUUUUUAUUAGGCCCAAGUGUUUUCUAUUAAAAGCCUUCGGAAGCCCCUGGAAGCUGGAGCUCGGGGCGAUCGCCUGUGUGCACAGAGCCCCCACCCGAGACCCUGGUUUGGACGCUGCUCCCGUCUGUGGGGACAGUGCCCACGGGGCAGAUGCCUGUGGAAGGAGAGGACCGUGGAGUUCCAGGGCCUGCCCUGGAAGCGCCGUGGGCGGGAUUUUCUGCUGCUGAGAAGUGCCACCAGGCGGGGGCAUUGGUGGCGAACCUCCAGAACCUUCCGGAUGCAGAGCUACCCCAGAGGGGAGCUGCUUGGGUGUCGCACGGGAAAGUGGGGGUGUGCGGCCAGCUCUGUGGGUCAUGCGACAAGGAAAAGAAAAUCAGCCACAGAGAACAUGUAAGCAGAAAAGCAAAGACCACGAUUCUCCAAUGAAACCUUUCAGACGAACCCAGGCAACUGCAGCUGGUCCUCGGCCAUUUGCUGGCUCCUUGUCCAGUGAGGGACCUGGUCCCUGCCUCGGAUGGAUGCUCGUGCUAGGCGGGCCUGUGUGAUCCUGUGCUGGCUGAGAUGUGAGGAUAAGAUGUGAUGAUAUCAAGAAAGGCCAUUAUUUUCUUCAAACAGUGGGACAGAUUCAGCCAGCAGUUGCCUCUCAUCCUUCUUCUUUUUGCCAUUCAUUCUUACUGGAAGGGUGAGGUGAUACCUGGAGCUGGAGCAGCCACACUGCAUACCAUAGGCCAGGAAUAGCCAAGCAGUAAGCUUAAGAGGAGGAGGGUACCUGCAGCUCUUUCCAAAAAAAAAAAAAACUGCAUAAGUCUUCCUCCUUGUAGAAUCCCCGCAUGGAAAAAAGUAAAUAAACAAUCAGACCCGCCA